CUGCCAUCAGCAGGGAUGUAUCUGGGGGAGAGUUUUGCCCCCCAGCCAUGUCAGGGGAGGGGCAUGUGAGCUGAGGCAUUGAGGAGCACUGGGUGCCACUGCUCCUUGACCCAGGACUCCCAGAAAUCCUCACCUGGCUCCAGCCCUCGCUGAUCAAAUCACCUGCUUCUGCCUUUAAAGGGGCAGGUGAGAGCAUCCCGGCACGGGUUGGAGGGUGAGACCAGCCGCAAUAAGGUGUAAGGAGAGUGAGCAGGGCGUGGCCGAGGCAGGAGCAGCGUCGGAUGCAGAGGAGGAACCCAGGGGCCAGUGACUCUCAGCCCUGUCUGGGGGAGGGUGAGCUGCAAGAGAUCCCCUUGGAGCAUCUUUGACCUGAGGAGCAGUUGGAUCAAACCACUGGGCCUGCUGGAGACCAGAGCAGGAUGAGGCCCCUUCUCCUUCUGUGCCUCUGUCUCCUCCUCUCUCCACCCCCGCUACCUCCUGCCCUCUCCGUCCCGCUUUGCACCAGGAGCAACGAGAUCUCGCAGCAGGAUAUCUAUAUCCCUGGUUUCAGCCUUGCUGCAGGGCAGGCCAGCCUAGCUCCAUCACCCCUGCAGGAGUAGGCUUUGAUCUCCCUCCAGGGAUCAGCCCGUGGGAGGGCUGACACAGGCACGACGUCCCCCGAGACGUGUCUUGCGCGGUGCCAGGAGUGCCUGCAACGUGGGGGGAUCCGGGACGGUGAGUCACUUCUCCCACCCGCCGUGCCCAGCCCAGCACCCCCUGGGCCUGAAGAGCAGGGAGCAAUU
Molecule: long non-coding RNA, 782 nt
Filed under: Crocodylus porosus (Australian saltwater crocodile)
Lineage: Eukaryota; Metazoa; Chordata; Crocodylia; Crocodylidae
Description: lncRNA (ENSCPRG00005014910.1)
Source: RNAcentral